RNAcentral lists this transfer RNA (77 nucleotides) under Clostridiaceae bacterium. RNAcentral describes it as "tRNA-Pro". It matches the Rfam family "tRNA". From Rfam's summary of the family: Transfer RNA (tRNA) molecules are approximately 80 nucleotides in length. Their secondary structure includes four short double-helical elements and three loops (D, anti-codon, and T loops). Further hydrogen bonds mediate the characteristic L-shaped molecular structure. tRNAs have two regions of fundamental functional importance: the anti-codon, which is responsible for specific mRNA codon recognition, and the 3' end, to which the tRNAs corresponding amino acid is attached (by aminoacyl-tRNA synthetases). tRNAs cope with the degeneracy of the genetic code in two manners: having more than one tRNA (with a specific anti-codon) for a particular amino acid; and 'wobble' base-pairing, i.e. permitting non-standard base-pairing at the 3rd anti-codon position. Lineage: Bacteria; Bacillati; Bacillota; Clostridia; Eubacteriales; Clostridiaceae. The record is from RNAcentral.
CGGGGUGUAGCUCAGUUGGCUAGAGCACUAGUUUUGGGAACUAGAUGCCGGAGGUUCGAGUCCUCUCACUCCGACCA